ACGGGCUAGAGCGGGGCUAGGGGUCCCGGCACCGCAAAUCCCCUUAGGCGGCUCGAAGGUCCGGGGAGUUUUGCCGCGGAUACAUGCCCAAUGCCCAAAGCGCUGACGUCCUGCCUUGUGUGGCGGGAUUGUAUGUGAACCGGGUCAGGCCGGAAGGAGCAGCCCUAAGCGUAUUGUCCCGUGCUCGUAAGAUACAGGACUGAGUGGAGGGUAUUGGCUCCUUGUAUGUGUGUCAAAGCCAACCGGAAAGCCCAC
This 255-nucleotide signal recognition particle RNA is filed under the name Microcaldota archaeon. RNAcentral's name for it is "signal recognition particle sRNA large type". It matches the Rfam family "Bacterial large signal recognition particle RNA". Rfam says of the family: The signal recognition particle (SRP) is a universally conserved ribonucleoprotein involved in the co-translational targeting of proteins to membranes. Archaeal SRP consists of a 7S RNA and homologues of the eukaryotic SRP19 and SRP54 proteins. The record is from RNAcentral. Lineage: Archaea; Nanobdellati; Microcaldota.